RNAcentral lists this non-coding RNA (24 nucleotides) under Arabidopsis thaliana (thale cress). The record is from RNAcentral. Lineage: Eukaryota; Viridiplantae; Streptophyta; Magnoliopsida; Brassicales; Brassicaceae.
CUGUCCAUCCUCUUUAUCGUCCUC